Molecule: long non-coding RNA, 280 nt
Organism: Esox lucius (northern pike)
Lineage: Eukaryota; Metazoa; Chordata; Actinopteri; Esociformes; Esocidae
Exons: 3
Source: RefSeq, a predicted model, not a curated record
AGUCUACUGAAAGGGGCAGGAAUGCAAGUGUCUUUGGAAGUGGCAGAUCCAUUCAACAAUGAAGAAGGUGUUGUAACGUGGUGGUCGUGUAUAGAGCAAUUUUAUCAAACAAGCUGAAACAAAGUAAAGCGCAGAAACUUGGCAUCAAGACAAAAUCCACUCACCAGCUACCUGCACCAUACAAGCGACAAUAACCAACCACACAGCACAAGCAGAGGACACAUAAUAAGACGAGGGGAAUCAGAGCGGGUAAGAAGGGGAAAGAGCGGUUACACUACCC